UCAAAAGUAUGUCUUCAAUAAUGUUGCAGG
This 30-nucleotide non-coding RNA is filed under the name Mus musculus (house mouse). The record is from RNAcentral. Lineage: Eukaryota; Metazoa; Chordata; Mammalia; Rodentia; Muridae.